This is a long non-coding RNA of Bactrocera oleae (olive fruit fly), 704 nucleotides long. RefSeq lists it as uncharacterized. The record is from RefSeq and is a predicted model, not a curated record. Lineage: Eukaryota; Metazoa; Arthropoda; Insecta; Diptera; Tephritidae.
UAUUAAACAAUUAUAAUCUACUUAAUCUACUUUUUAGCAAUUAAAUAAUGUUAUAAUUUUAGGCGUACCGAAGAGCCCCGAGAAAUUCCAAUAGCCCCACCUUACGGAAUUGUUUUGAGAAGAAAAAAUUAAAGAGCUAAAAAGAUAAAGAAGUUGUGAACGUCAAAGGACAAUUUAUCAGCGUCAGAGUUUUGAAGCAAAAUGAAAAAAAUAAAAUUCAAAAAAUAUAAAACGAAACAGUACCAAAAUCAAAUGCUGAACGUCAAAAGUCAACGUAAUGCCGAAAAAUCUUACGUUGAUAUGAAAAGAGAAAAAUUGAACAGUAAUGAUGAGAAUGUCGUGCAAUGUAGGGCUGCUGAAAAUAUAGAAAAUGUAACGCUACAAGAAAAUCAAUUUCACAGUCAACAACUUCAAAUUUGUAGCGAAUGAAUGCAUUAUUCCCGAAGUUAUUCUACACACGAAUACAGGAAUUCCUGGUGAUGGUAAUUGUCUAUUCCACUCACUUAUAAGUGUGACAAUUAUGAUAAAGAUCCUAUUGAAUAUAACCAUAACAGUCAUGAAAAUGAAAUUGAGAUUGAUAGAAGAGUAGACCAAAUAUGUGAAAAUAUCAUGGAUUUUAUUGUAGAUGGUACUAUUUAGGUUUACACAAAUUAUCGUAAACACAGCACAAGUCAUAUUGAUUUUUAUAAAGACUUUACGAGUAA